CCCUACGGGGCGCAGCAGUGGGGGAUAUUGCACAAUGGGGGGAACCCUGAUGCAGCGACGCCGCGUGGGCGAUGGAGUGCUUCGGCAUGUAAAGCCCUAUCAGCAGGGAAGAAAAUGACGGUACCUGACUAAGAAGCCCCGGCUAAAUACGUGCCAGCAGCCGCGGUAAUACGUAUGGGGCAAGCGUUAUCCGGAUUUACUGGGUGUAAAGGGAGCGUAGACGGUUAUGUAAGUCUGGAGUGAAAGCCCGGGGCCCAACCCCGGGACUGCUUUGGAAACUGUGUAACUGGAGUACAGGAGGGGCG
This 305-nucleotide ribosomal RNA is filed under the name uncultured bacterium. RNAcentral describes it as "bacterial SSU rRNA". It matches the Rfam family "Bacterial small subunit ribosomal RNA", at positions 337 to 659 of the family's 1533-position model. The record is from RNAcentral.